This 110-nucleotide small nuclear RNA is filed under the name Sphenodon punctatus (tuatara). RNAcentral's name for it is "U5 spliceosomal RNA (ENSSPUG00000005645.1)". It matches the Rfam family "U5 spliceosomal RNA". Rfam says of the family: U5 RNA is a component of both types of known spliceosome. The precise function of this molecule is unknown, though it is known that the 5' loop is required for splice site selection and p220 binding, and that both the 3' stem-loop and the Sm site are important for Sm protein binding and cap methylation. Lineage: Eukaryota; Metazoa; Chordata; Lepidosauria; Sphenodontia; Sphenodontidae. The record is from RNAcentral.
AUGCUCUGGUUUCUCUUCAAAUCAUACAAAUCUUUCACCUUUUACUAAAGAUUUCCAUGGAGAGAAGCAAGAACCUUAUCACACUUAUUCGAUUUGAUGUACUAAUAGCU